AUUACAAUAACUUUAAAAUACACAAAUAAACAUAUCAUAAUAAUUUUCAAUAAGGACGAAAAGAAGGAGGAGGAGGAGGAGGAGGGAGAGGAGGAGGGAGGAGAGGACGAAAGGGAGACAGGAGGAGCAGCAGUCAAAGCAGCAGCAACACGGAGCCAUGAGAAAGAGGAAAAGCGUGUGGUGGAGGUGGUAGUGGGUACGUGGGUGGCAGCAAAGGUGCAGAAGUGGCAGUGGAUUUGAAGACUGCCGGAUGCUGAGGCAGCCAGACGAAGAUCAUGGGGAAGCAGCAGUCAGGGAGGAAGUCUGAGAGAGAAAGAUGCCAGGUGUCUGGGAAAACACAUCCUAUGGCCAGUCCCUUGCCUGUCGUCCCCCCCCCCCCACAUCUGCGGUUCGCAUCCCACAGAGGCAAACAGGCCCACAACCUGAGGACGACACACUGAUGAGCUGGCAGGGAGCCUCCAGUGGGAACAGCACAGGCAGAGUGAACGGAGGGACCCUGGGCUGCAGAGGGAAAUGGGGAUGAGGGAGGCUUGGAGGGAGGAAGCCAUCUCUGGUGCUAGCCACAAUGUGGUUGCUAUCCUUGUCACUCCCCCCCCCUCUCACAUCCUUGUGUCAAGCGCUGUGGGUUCUAUGUCUUUGUUGACAUUCCUUGACUUCCCAUGAAGUGGGUGGUAGCUUGCUCCACCCCUGGCCACUGUCUUGGAGCAAGCUACCACCCACUUUCUCCAGGACAGCUGCGACACAGAUAUUUAGAAAACCCAGCAUCAGCAGGACUCACUGCCUGGGUAGACUCAGCUGCACACUGCAAACCCCCCCCCCCCGACAUCACACACACACACACACACACACACACACACACACACACAGAGAGAGAGAGCUCGGCUGUGCUCAGUUCCAAUGUGGAGAGCCAGGCCACGUACACUACUGAGCCUGUGAGUCACCUUCUUUCCUGCUGGUGUGGGGCUCAGAAACCUUGGUCCUUCUGGACCUUGUGCCACCGGCACCUGCCACUCCUAGCACUUGCCCUCGAAGCCUAUUCACAACGCCGUUCAGUUUGCACAGCUGGGGGCCUGUCUGGCCUUUCCCUCUGUGUCUGCCCAUCACCAGCGAAGAUGGAUGUCAAUGGAGGGACUAAGGCACUGUGCAUCUGUGAAGCUGCAGUAAGAGUCCCAACAUCUAAGAAAGGAAUGCAGAAAUGUUUAAGGCUGAUAGCUGUGACACAGUAUAACCCUGACAAAGACAGUCCUUAGAAAGAUCACAUUAAAGCUGGACCUCAAGUGAACUUCAUUCUGAACUUGGGCCUGAUACGUUCCCAAGAUGCUGCUGACCUAGGAAACAACUGGGAAUGUGAGUGGUGGCGCCACCCUAGACCAGAACCGGUCUCCGUGUCGCCAAAGGGGGUGAGCCUGUGCCGUGGGGAGUUCCAUCUGGAGUCCACACCAUUCUCCAGUAGGCCCCUGAAGCCAGAUGCCUUUACAAGAUCAAUAACUCCGAUCUCUUUUCCCCAAUCUAACUGGUCUGCUUUUUUUCCGGAGGCUUCCUGUUUAGCAUGACCUUGGGCCCACAUCUGGACCAUUUAACACAGGGCAGCCAGUCCGGUCCUCAGAUAACAGCAACUGUGGAAUGAGAACUGCCCCUACGAUAGCAUGCGCAGCAUCCAAACAAGCUCCCCUUUGUCUCCGAUGCUGGCAGAUGGCCAGAGAGCUUCAGCGCAUCAGAGCCUCUGCUGUCAGGACUGACGGCUAACGAGUCCAAACCAGAGGCAGAAAAAGUCACCUUCCACGCUGGGUUUUGGGAUGGUGUGACCUGAAAUUUUCUUGAAGCUGAGCUGCAGUAUCAGCCAGGGCAGGACCUGAGCAAAGCACAGACAGAUCUCUAGGCCCUGGUCCCACCCCAGAGAUGACAGGACAGUGAUCACGAUGCAGAAGCAUGAGACCUACGCUUGUCUGUCACUGGAACAAAGGACAGAGCUGAGUUUUGCUGAACAGCAGAGCGUUCUGAAACAACUGACUUAACGCUCCAGAGCCCAGGCCUUUCCCUGCGGACAACGUGAUCUGCUAGUCUGCCGGGAAGACGAGAAAUGGCUCGUCCACACCUGGCCACAUCAAACUGUCCCAAUCUCAUGGUGGGAGACAACUACCAAAAAUGAAAAUGUAAAAAACUUCACGCGAUUAUUUUGCAAACUUUAUACAAAUAAAUAAAAAUCUGUAAAUUAAGUAGUUAAUUACUUAGAAAGCAAAAUGAUUCAAUUGCCAAUAGAAAGCUCCAAUAGCCUGCUUUUUGUAGAAUAGAGAAGAAUUUAAAGGGAUUUUUCCACAACAAAAGUACAAGCCCAAAGGGUCUCCUAAGAGAUAUAAAUUUUUGGACACCAUGCAUUUGGUAGAUGAUGAUAGAGACAAAUUUCCUAAUUUUUUGAAGCAAAUGCAACAAUUAAUGCUUAAAUAUAACAUACAAAUAUCAGUGCCAAAACCUUGAAGUAAAUAAUAGCAACAGACCUAAUUCCUAUGAUUUGAAAUUUUCCCUUGAGAAGCAACGUGUUGGCAUUUUAACUCUCAGUGCGACAGGGUUGGGCAGUGAGUCCUGAGAAGGUCCUCCCCGCAAGAGUGGCUCAGUGCUGUUAUCUUGGGAAUAAGUUCAUUGAAAAGACUGAAUUCAGUCUCCCUUAGUUUUCUUUUCCCUUCCUAUCUUUAACUCCCGUGUUUUGCCUUUGAAUGAACAAAACAAACAGGCCACCAACAGAUGUAAGCCUCUUGACUUUUGAUUUCCCAAAGGUAUGAGAAGGAAAUUUCUGUUUUUAUAAAUUCCUCUGUCUCUGGAUUCUAUUAUAAGAGUAAAAGUUAGUCUCAGAAAAACCAUUUGCAAAAAAUAAUCCAAUGUGAUCAAGGGGGAGGAUCUAUUCCAGGAAUGCAAGGAUGGUUUAAUAAGGGAACAACACAUACCGUAUGAUGUGAAUCUGAGAGGACUAUGUGGCCAGCCUGCUAACGUUGAAAACAAAAACUGUAAUAAAAAUUGACAUCUAUUUCUAACUCUAAAAAGACUCAAGAAACCAGAAACCUCAGCAUGAUAAAAGUGCAUAAACCUUAGUAUUAAAGUCGACAUCUCCUGUUUGUUUGUUUGAUACGGGUUUCUCUGCAUAGCCCUGGCUGUCCUGAAAUUUGUUCUGCAGAUCAGGCUGGAACCAGAGAUCUGCCUGUCUCUACCUCCUGAGUGUGGGGAUUAAAGGAACCUGGCCUGGAGUCAACAUCUCUUGAAUGAGGACUCUCUGGAGUUGUUUCUAGUAAGACUGGGAAGAAGGCAAGGGACCCAUCACCUCCACUGCUGUUCAGUAUUGUGCUACAUGAGUGAGCCAAAGCAAUUGGAUAAAGGAGUUGGUCAUAGAACUGAAAAUAUAAAGUAAAAUUAAGUCUAUUUGCAGAUGAUAUAAUGGUAUAUCUAGAAAAAUGAGAGACUCAAUGUUCAAAUUAAUUCAAGCAAUAAAAACUAAGCUAGUUAGAGAGACUAUAAAAGUACAAAUCCCAAUAAUCCUUAGAUACAGAAAAAUAAGUAAAAGUGUGUAACAGUGAAUAAAUCUACACUUACAAUAGUAGCAAUAAAAUGCACAGAAAUGCACUUAAUAAAUACACACAACUUAGAGCCGGAACACUUUUCAGUGUGUAUGAGAGAAACAAGGCAAACACGGACAGACAGGAUAGCAGCCCUUGUCCGUGGGUAGAAAGACUCAACAUCCCCAGGAUGUCAGUUUUCCCAGAACUUACUUAUAAAUACUUUAAUAAAAACAACAAGUAUCCAGAACCCCUGAUGUUUCAGGGAGAAAUCCUGUCUUGCAUUACCUCACAUGAAAUCAUUCCACAGAAUCCCUGUGACUCAACAUGUAAUAUAUUAAUAUAUUAACACCUAAAUAAAUAGAGAUUAGCAGGAUAGAACAGAAAUCCAGAAACAAGCUCAAGGGCCCAUGGGGAUUUGGCGCAUGCCAUCCUAAGCCUGUGACUGGAGCAGUGAUGGGCUCUCUGUGACGCGGUCCCCGACAAACCUGUGCUCACUACAUCUCUCCGACGGGGAGGUAUUUGGGGAAAAGUUAACGUGAGACCUUAUCCCAUCUGCAUAAAGUAGACUCCAGGUUCAGAAGAGGAGCAGAAGAAAACGUGCACAGUCUUUUGUGCUUCCUCCAUGAACUGGGCACACAGGAAGGCCACAGUAACCAGGAAGUCUUAGUAAGUCACACUGUGAAAAACUUUACAAUAUUUGCAUGAUCAAACCUGACGGAUAAUUCAGUUUUUGAAUGUAUUUUAGAGGAACUCUUUUGUCUCCCAAAAUGUUAGCUUAAAUCUACCACCGAAGCAAUGCCAUCUUACCUGAAUAAGCCAUCAUAAGUUUUCACUUAAAAGUGUGGUGGAGGGAAGAACUUGGUGGGGGCAGUGUGUGUGUGUGUGUGUGUGUGUGUGUGUGUGUGUGUGAGCUGUGCUUCAUGUCAGCACUGGCUCCGCUUUAGUUACC
Molecule: long non-coding RNA, 4494 nt
Organism: Mus musculus (house mouse)
Lineage: Eukaryota; Metazoa; Chordata; Mammalia; Rodentia; Muridae
Product: predicted gene, 34140
Exons: 3
Source: RefSeq, a predicted model, not a curated record